UUUUUCCGACGACGUUAAAAAGUUUGAACUAAACAAGGAGAACCAAGGUACACAUAGGCACACAGCCACUCUCCAACUGUAGGUAUGUACUCCCGAGAACGUAUCUGGUGAAACGACUAAACUGGUGCACCAGAUGCACCAGCUAUGUAUGGGCCGUUGGAUUUGAAAGAAAGGGACAUGAUUCAAUGUGAUGAUGGGCUGUCGGUACAUUUGCAAAAUAGUCCUUGCAAUACAGCUAAAUCCAGCGAUCUGACCUCUCUGUACCCACAUCAUCUUCCUCCCCUUGCCAUACUCUGUACCAGGCCGUCCAGCUGCGUGCUAGGGUUCGGGAAGUCUGCUCCGUCGCCUCUCUCGCCCCCUCUCCUUGACCUUAUCCCCCUUCUAUCUUGUACCUAGUUCCGGCGCCGUUGAAGCACGAGCUCCCCUCCUCUCCUCUGAGUCGCGCCCGACGAAGACGUCAUUGCCGCCGGCGAGCACGUAAAUGUAGAGGUGUUGUGCUGUAGCUCCUGGGGUGAAGAGGAACUUCCCAAAGGAGCCGGCUAUCUUCUGCGCCUCGAGGAUUUUAGGAUAUGUUCUCUUAUCUCAUUAUCCAUUUAUCAUGGUCAUAUUGGGUUCUUCCCAUUUGGGAUUUCCCCAAUUUAUUCCAAACUAGUAUCAUUGCGUACUUGAAUAAGUAGUAUGAGCACCAGAUUUCUGUAUGAGAUAUACGACUGCAGAUAUUGUACUGCAAAAUAGCCUAUGCAAAGUUGAAUAACUAGCGUUCUGAACCUUAAUAUGUAUUUUGUAGUAUAGAAAAACCAUAUUUAUGCAAACUCUAAAGUAAGGUUUGUGCAGCUGUGCAGUUGAAUAGGACCUAGCCAUCGUCCUUUAUAGCUCAGGAUCCAAGGUAUGAGCAUCGAAUUUGGUUGUUCUGUUAUCCAUGUACAGUCAUAUUUGCUUCUUCCAGGCCAUUCAGUUUCCCAUGUGUUUGAAGCCAAUGGCAUUUGGGAAUAUGAGAUUGAAAAGGGGUUCAGAGCAAACAGUGAACCAAAAGAAGAAGAGGGCAAAUAGCAUCCAAAAGGUUCCAGAUAAGUAGGGGCAGUGGUUUCACUAAUUUGAUGUUGGAAUAAUUAUGUGAAGUCAUACAGCUGGCUACAUUCUUGCUGGAAAUUGCAGUGAUAUUCAUAGGCGAAGAGGUUUUCGACUUUUGGUGUUUCCAGGAGCUCACAUUUGCAAAUGUGUCACUUAAGCAUGCAUAUGUUCUAUGUCUGUAACCUGGAUGUGGUCACUGUUAGCUUCAGGAAGUCGCUAACAGUAAACCAUGUUGUCUCAUUAUCCGUGUUUAACCAGGAAGAAAAGAUUGUAUGACCUAGCAAGGAAUUGCUAAGCCUAGCUUAAUGUAGGUUUGAAGAUUUGGUUUUUCUUUCUGUGUUAUUGUCAGUUGUAGCCAGCUUGCUAUAUGUCGUGCUCAUGUGAACACUUUCCGAAUUAGUGCAACCUUAUUACUA
Long non-coding RNA from Aegilops tauschii subsp. strangulata, 1487 nucleotides. RefSeq lists it as uncharacterized. Lineage: Eukaryota; Viridiplantae; Streptophyta; Magnoliopsida; Poales; Poaceae. The record is from RefSeq and is a predicted model, not a curated record.